This is a long non-coding RNA of Suricata suricatta (meerkat), 664 nucleotides long. RefSeq lists it as uncharacterized. Lineage: Eukaryota; Metazoa; Chordata; Mammalia; Carnivora; Herpestidae. The transcript has 2 exons. The record is from RefSeq and is a predicted model, not a curated record.
CAGAGUAACAGGGCAGUGAAAACCAUAGUGUCCCAUGCCUUGGGCAUCCGAUGGAAAUCACAGGCUGCCUGGAGACACCAAGUGACUUGAAAAAGGCAGCAAAGGAACUCUGGCCAAACUGUGCCAGGAAACCCACGUGAUGUGGGAUGAGCCCGUGCCACUGGCCCUGCAGUGGGUUAGAGGUGUCCCUCGGACGGGGCGUGGUUACUGCCCUGUGACAUGUUCUGUGGAAGACUUUCUACAUUCUUUUCAUGACUUAGGAGUUUAUGGAGGGGCUCCCAUCAGGGAACUGAAUACUAUCAGGUACAUCCAGGACCUGAGUUUGCUCCCAGCAGGUUGAUGUAACCCACAGAUGUGUCUUCACAGUUCCUGUCUUCCUUAGUGACAUCAAAUGUUGUCACUGAACAGCGAGAGCCCAGAGGAGCGGCUCCAGCCUCAUGGGACAGCAGGAAGUCCCUGGAGCGGUCAUGGUCCCAAUACCCACAAGCAUGAGGACCGAUCAAAGGACCGUGGGGAUGGAAACCGGUAACCGGAGGCUUCACAACUGCACCUUUGUACCCAGACCAUUUCCCAAUGCCGUUAAGCACCCCUGAUGGUCUUCCUCCAAGCGGUAGAGGUGAAGCUUGCCCUCCUGCCUCCGAAUUAAACCCUUGCUCUGCUUCAU